AAAGCGUGCGUAGGUGGUUGUUUAAGUCUGUUGUGAAAGCCCUGGGCUCAACCUGGGAAUUGCAGUGGAUACUGGGCAACUAGAGUGUGGUAGAGGGUAGUGGAAUUCCCGGUGUAGCAGUGAAAUGCGUAGAGAUCGGGAGGAACAUCCAUGGCGAAGGCAGCUACCUGGACCAACACUGACACUGAGGCACGAAAGCGUGGGGAGCAAACAGGAUUAGAUACCCCAGU
Molecule: ribosomal RNA, 230 nt
Filed under: uncultured bacterium
Lineage: Bacteria
Description: partial 16S ribosomal RNA
Rfam family: Bacterial small subunit ribosomal RNA
Source: RNAcentral